RNAcentral lists this ribosomal RNA (253 nucleotides) under uncultured bacterium. RNAcentral's name for it is "partial 16S ribosomal RNA". It matches the Rfam family "Bacterial small subunit ribosomal RNA", at positions 524 to 776 of the family's 1533-position model. The record is from RNAcentral.
UACGAGGGGGGCAAGCGUUGUUCGGAAUUAUUGGGCGUAAAGGGUGCGUAGGCGGUUUGGUAAGUCUCUUGUGAAAUUUAUGGGCUCAACUCAUAAACUGCAAGGGAAACUGCCGGGCUUGAGUGUGGGAGAGGUGAGUGGAAUUCCUGGUGUAGCGGUGAAAUGCGUAGAUAUCAGGAGGAACACCUGUGGCGAAAGCGGCUCACUGGACCACAACUGACGCUGAUGCACGAAAGCUAGGGGAGCAAACAGG